GCACAGAGCCCAAUACAGGGCUCGAACCCGCAGACUACGAGAUCGUGACCUGAGCUGAAGUCAGAUGCUUAACCAACUGAGCCACCCAGGUGCCCCAGGAUUUGAAUUAUUUUAAAUUGUUUAUUCACAGGAACGAUCAGUGAGUUGCAGUUGACUAUAGAAUUUUGGAAUUUUUAAACGAACUUAAGAGAUCUAUUUUUAUUUUAAUUAAUGAGGAAACUGAGUCACAUAGUCUUAACUAAGGUGGCAACUGUGGAAGAACAGGUUAGAAUCCAAGUCUAUAGUCCUAGGGCAGUGUUUUGUUCAUUGUUUUUUGUUUUGUUUGUUUUUUUUUUUCAGUCAAAAACACAAGCAUGAUUCUUCAUAAAUUCAAGAGUUUUCCAUUUGGGAUAACAACAGACACAGGCCCCAGCCACCAACUCUAAAAAGGUCAAGGUAAAAUUUUUCCUCCCCUACAAAAACAACAACAACAAAAAAAGGCUCUUAACUUUUUUUUCUAAUUAACCAGAGGCUGAAGUAACAGAGCUGAAGAAAAAACUAGAGGUGAAGUGAUUUGUACAAAAUGUCAUAUUGUGUAAUUUGUUGAGUGUCAUGUAUUAAUAGCAACAUCCUGAAAAUGCAAAUGAAUACAAAUCUGAUCAGUGUACCAUGACAUUCUUUCAUGUAAGCCUCCUAAGAAAAGGUCACUGAGCAUUCUCUGUUUAGAUUUUAAUUUUAGACUCCAGUAUUUCACACUAGACCUUUCUCAUUUCUUACCAAGCAGUGAAAGAACAGUUCUUAUUUCCAAUAUGUCUUGUUUUCUCAGCCCUUUAAAUGCGUGUUUCUUCAAAAAGUUUAAGUUUCAAGAAGGGAAAAGAAUGGGCAAGAAGGGUAGGCCAGAAAUAAUACAAGAAAAUAAAGGCAAAUACAGGAAAUGACAAAACUCCUCCUUCCUGAGAACAUUUAACAUAAAGGACCCCAAAAGUUAACCUUGCGUUAGACAUGUUGAAUUCUCUCACUUGAUCUCCAGAGAUGACUGUGCCCACCAUCCCGCUCCUCUCCAUCUUUGACUUACAGAAUACACUCAUGUAACACUUCUUCUUGAAGUACAUUUAAAUUCAAGAGCCUCAGUGGUAGCUGCUGCUUCUUGGGAGAUGCCUGGUUUAGGAUAAACAACUGUUUUGAGAAACUGCUUUUACUGACAUUUUGAAAAAAUUAAAAGUUCUGGAUAAGAAUUGAUUGUACCAAAUACUAUCUUUUUCUACUUUGGUUCAUUAGUUCAUUUUGGCCAUUUGGGAAGGUCUUUUUUUUUUUUUUUUUUUUUCUUUUUAGUUCAGUUGUUCAUGAAUAAGUGUGCUUACUGUACUACUGUAUUCUCAUUACCCCUUUGCUUCCGGAGUACCUUCCAGUGUGGGUUUCUAA
Prionailurus viverrinus (fishing cat) is the source of this 1401-nucleotide long non-coding RNA. RefSeq lists it as uncharacterized. Lineage: Eukaryota; Metazoa; Chordata; Mammalia; Carnivora; Felidae. The record is from RefSeq and is a predicted model, not a curated record. The transcript has 2 exons.